GAACGCACAUUGCGCCCUCUGGUAUUCCGGGGGGCAUGCCUGUUCGAGCGUCAUUACACCCCUCAAGCUCUGCUUGGUAUUGGGUGCCACCUCAGGGUGCACCUCAAAAUCAGUGGCGGUGCCGUCUGGCUUCAAGCGUAGUAAUACUUCUCGCUUCGGGGCUCAGGCGCGUGCUCGCCAUAACCACAAUUUUAUCAAGGUUGACCUCGGAUCAGGUAGGGAUACCCGCUGAACUUAAG
Molecule: unclassified non-coding RNA, 239 nt
Filed under: uncultured fungus
Lineage: Eukaryota; Fungi
Description: sequence contains 5.8S rRNA gene
Rfam family: 5.8S ribosomal RNA (bases 1-53)
Source: RNAcentral